This is a long non-coding RNA of Canis lupus familiaris (dog), 2176 nucleotides long. RefSeq lists it as uncharacterized. The transcript has 4 exons. Lineage: Eukaryota; Metazoa; Chordata; Mammalia; Carnivora; Canidae. The record is from RefSeq and is a predicted model, not a curated record.
AGCGCUCACAGCAAAACACAGCUGGCAUGUCUAAUUUUAGCCUUGACUGCCUUGAAAAGGGACCCUUAAGGGAAAUAUAUUUUCGCUGAAACCAUUUGUAUUAUAAUGUAACAGCUGACAGACAUGUCAGAAUAUUACUUAUUAUUGGUGGGGAAAAACUCUGUCAGGUAAUUGUGCUUUUUUUUGUGAUGACAUCGGGAAAGUGAUUAAAGCAUCCCUGAAUCAAAAUCAUCAUAGAUAGACAGUGAGAGAACCAGAGCUUUUAUUUAUGAAGACGCCUGUAAACCUAAUGGGAUACCUCCUUUGAUGCUUACAAAACGGAUGUAAGGGUAAGAAUGAUCAUUUCGGCUAUGGCAAGUUGGUCCUUGUGAUCUGACGAUGCAGGGCUUGCUAAUAGUAGUCCUGGCAUAGACUCUCAAAUUUCUUCAAUGCUUAGCAUCCUCCGUGUCGUCCGAGAAGUAAAAGGAAAUACUGCAGCUUUCUGGACUGCAUACCCUGCUCCCUGGAGAGGUUCCACCCACCGGCUGGAAGGAGAGGAAGUGAAUGAAAGGACAGGAGGAGCCCGAACACCAUGUCACUCUGGAAGGGAGACAGCAGCAACCAGGCUGUGCAAGUGAGUGGUGGAAGACGAAGGAUCUCUGAAGCCUCAUCAGUCAUCGGGACCAUCAGGAAUAGUGGUUUAAGAGGACGCUCGGCCUGGGGCACUAUACCCUGUCAUCGAGUUCCCUGCCUCGGAGAUAAAGAUUCCAGCUACAUGGGUAAACGCCUGGAUCAGCCACAAAUGUACCCCCAGUACACUUACUACUAUCCUCACUGUCUCUAAACCAAGACAGGAGCAACACCACAUGGAAAGGUCUUCCCUGAACCUCCAGUUCCCCCCAAAAGAAGAGAACUCAAGGGGACAAUCAGCACCACCACCACUGCAGAUUACUUCAUGAGAGCCCCUACUCUGGUCUCGUGCCAUGAGAAUUGCAGGGGAAACUGUGAGGCUUGCAAUAACCAACACACAGAUCUUGGCAGAUGCAAUUCAUGACUACAACUCCCCAAGUGAUUAGUAAUCCAAGUAGUGGCUCCAACCAGCAGCUUUGCUCAUCACCAGAACCAAGUCUGGGACAAACUGUGACCAGAGAACUCACUGGAGUACAUAUCUGCUUGUUUUGGGUUCUCAUACAAGUUUUGCUGACUCUAGAAACUGUAUCCAAGCAAGGAGUUGUAGCUCCAUUUGCUGGGGAAACUGUCUUCUGGUCCAUCUUGCCAGAGGGCACUGACAAGAAAACCUAAAAGCUGUAUAGCUCAGCAAUACUCCAACCAAGAGGUGUGUGGGUGGUUCGGACAGUCCCCGAGGCAAAGCCAGUACAGGGUAUGAAAAAUUCCCCUGCUGCACCCAGGCAGGGGAAUUAAUUCACAGCGAAGGCUGAGGGUGCAUCAUGGCCUCACCCAUAAGAAAAACUCGUUUGGGGAACAUGUGAGCAAGGCCAGGAGGCACCCCUCCCAACCCCACCCAAGCAAGUAACCUGAAACACAGCCACACCCACUGUGGCUCCCAGGCCCCAUCUGACCAGAAGGGCUGGCAAGGAUAUCUGGAAGCUCUGUAACCAACAAUGUGUAAGCCAAUAAGCAGAAAGGCAGAGCUAACUGUCUAGAGCAAAGCCAGUACCAGGUGUCGAGGGGUGGCCUGCUGUACCUAGGCAGAGGAAUUAACUCAUAGCCAAGGUAGAGAGUAGCUUCUGGCUCUUACUGAGUCAAAAGACAGAAAAGCAGAGAAGCCUGGAGCAGCACCUCUCCAUCCCAUUCAGAAAAGGGAACUAAAACAGCCCCACCACUGAGGAUAGCAUCUCCCAGCCCCACCUGACCAGAAGGGCUGGUGAAAAAAGGGAGCUACAAAAAGCCAGCAAUACUGUAGCCAAGAGACAGACAGGCAUAUACAACAGUGAGCAGAACAAAGCCAGUGGCUCAUAUUUGGCCAGGGAACUUGGGACACAGGUCAGGAUAAGAUAACACACAAAGAGCUUUAUUGCCUUUAAAGGUGCCCCUCCCACUGCUCCUGGGCAGAGAAACUAAUUCAUGGCCCCAAUUAUAUUAAUAUAGCCUUCAGCUUUUGUGACCUGGGAACCUAACAAGACCACAUGGGGAGCUGCUGUACAGGCCAUCCAAAAGCUCUGCUUCUAGCUGCACU